CUCUCGGGUGACGAGUGGCGGACGGGUGAGUAAUGUCUGGGAAACUGCCUGAUGGAGGGGGAUAACUACUGGAAACGGUAGCUAAUACCGCAUAACGUCGCAAGACCAAAGAGGGGGACCUUCGGGCCUCUUGCCAUCAGAUGUGCCCAGAUGGGAUUAGCUAGUAGGUGGGGUAACGGCUCACCUAGGCGACGAUCCCUAGCUGGUCUGAGAGGAUGACCAGCCACACUGGAACUGAGACACGGUCCAGACUCCUACGGGAGGCAGCAGUGGGGAAUAUUGCACAAUGGGCGCAAGCCUGAUGCAGCCAUGCCGCGUGUAUGAAGAAGGCCUUCGGGUUGUAAAGUACUUUCAGCGGGGAGGAAGGCGUUAAGGUUAAUAACCUUGUCGAUUGACGUUACCCGCAGAAGAAGCACCGGCUAACUCCGUGCCAGCAGCCGCGGUAAUACGGAGGGUGCAAGCGUUAAUCGGAAUUACUGGGCGUAAAGCGCACGCAGGCGGUCUGUCAAGUCGGAUGUGAAAUCCCCGGGCUCAACCUGGGAACUGCAUUCGAAACUGGCAGGCUAGAGUCUUGUAGAGGGGGG
Molecule: ribosomal RNA, 584 nt
Filed under: Enterobacter sp.
Lineage: Bacteria; Pseudomonadati; Pseudomonadota; Gammaproteobacteria; Enterobacterales; Enterobacteriaceae
Description: bacterial SSU rRNA
Rfam family: Bacterial small subunit ribosomal RNA
Source: RNAcentral